GUGCCACAAAGAGUUUGUGAGGCUGGAUGGGAGGUUCUCCACCAACGGAUGCUCCCUGGCACAGGGUUCUGAGUCCUGAGCAAGAUCGGGGAAAUGACUCACUUAAAAGAAGUCUUUAUCAACCACAGCAGAAUCCACAGUUAUAUGGCUUCUGGGAAUUUCCAGGUUUUCAGGUGCUAAGUGAGGGAGGAAGAGGGUAUGAAGCCUCCUGGCACAGAGUUGCUGGCAAUGCUCUGCCCUGCUGGCCCUGCUGCCUUCACCAUCAGCCACUCAGGUAUAGAAAAUGCAGCUACCUCUUAGGAGUCCAGAGAGGAGGUCUAACUUAGGACUCAGGCCAGUGGCUCUACCAUCUACCAGAACCUGUGAUCUUGGACAAGUGAUUGAAUUCUGUGGAUCCUCCAUUUCUUCAAAACCUAUAAAAUGGGGCAAUAAUGGUA
This is a long non-coding RNA of Pan troglodytes (chimpanzee), 437 nucleotides long. RefSeq lists it as uncharacterized. The transcript is spliced from 2 exons. NCBI's taxonomy places the organism in Eukaryota, Metazoa, Chordata, Mammalia, Primates, Hominidae. The record is from RefSeq and is a predicted model, not a curated record.